GACGAACGCNGGCGGCGUGCUUAACACAUGCAAGUCGAACGAAGAGCGAUGGAAGCUUGCUUCUAUCAAUCUUAGUGGCGAACGGGUGAGUAACGCGUAAUCAACCUGCCCUUCAGAGGGGGACAACAGUUGGAAACGACUGCUAAUACCGCAUACGAUCUAAUCUCGGCAUCGAGGAAAGAUGAAAGGUGGCCUCUAUUUAUAAGCUAUCACUGAAGGAGGGGAUUGCGUCUGAUUAGCUAGUUGGAGGGGUAACGGCCCACCAAGGCGAUGAUCAGUAGCCGGUCUGAGAGGAUGAACGGCCACAUUGGGACUGAGACACGGCCCAGACUCCUACGGGAGGCAGCAGUGGGGAAUCUUCCGCAAUGGACGAAAGUCUGACGGAGCAACGCCGCGUGAGUGAUGACGGCCUUCGGGUUGUAAAGCUCUGUUAAUCGGGACGAAAGGCCUUCUUGCGAACAGUNAGAAGGAUGACGNACC
This 480-nucleotide ribosomal RNA is filed under the name uncultured bacterium. RNAcentral's name for it is "bacterial SSU rRNA". It matches the Rfam family "Bacterial small subunit ribosomal RNA", at positions 28 to 478 of the family's 1533-position model. The record is from RNAcentral.